CGAGAAGCUUCACCUGAUUGUGUGUGUGUGUUGUGUGUGUAUGUGUGUGUGCAUUCACUUAUGAGUCUUUUGAAAAUGCACAUUUGUACUGCUGGGUUCAGAUUUUCUUCUGCGGAACAUUCUAGAAAACAGAUUCCUGUCCUGUGCAACGCGAAUGUACAAACCAGACACUCUCUCUUUUAAAAACAUCAUUAUUUCAAACAAGCUGAGAAGUCGCAUCUGAAUCCAAGCAACACAGAAAUCUAAGGGCACCACCCGCCGGCAAAUGUCAGCUCUUCAUAUGAAAUGGCAAAGAGCUGGAGAAAUUUAUAGAUCCCUCCGUAGGGGACCGGCUAAUGACAGCCACAGGGCAGUGGCUGUCACACAGCAUCGGCCGCAAUGUCUGGGAAAACCCAAAAUAUACCAACCAUGUGGUCUGUCCGGUGCACCUUUCCAGGUGCUCUGAUUCUCGGGGGACUCUGAGUCUUUGAGCUCUUUACCCUUCUGUAGAUUGGAAAUGACAGAGCGAGGCAAAUAGUCCUUGUCCACAGCCAUGCAAGGAACUUUUGUCUGCUGGAGAUUCAGUGAAUUUCCCUCUUCCCCUGGGGGAAAAGCCAGUUUUCGAUAUAUUCAGGAAAUUCCUUUACCUUUCCUGAAAGAAAACCUGCAUGUCUGUCACCCCUCGGGAUUUGUCCUUUGAACCGGUUGUAUCAUCUU
RNAcentral lists this long non-coding RNA (696 nucleotides) under Canis lupus familiaris (dog). RNAcentral's name for it is "lncRNA (ENSCAFG00000059349.1, ENSCAFG00805000053.1, ENSCAFG00845004304.1)". Lineage: Eukaryota; Metazoa; Chordata; Mammalia; Carnivora; Canidae. The record is from RNAcentral.